This 492-nucleotide ribosomal RNA is filed under the name uncultured bacterium. RNAcentral's name for it is "partial 16S ribosomal RNA". It matches the Rfam family "Bacterial small subunit ribosomal RNA", at positions 29 to 507 of the family's 1533-position model. The record is from RNAcentral.
AGUGAACGCUGGCGGUAGGCCUAACACAUGCAAGUCGAACGGCAGCACAGUAGGAGCUUGCUCUUACGGGUGGCGAGUGGCGGACGGGUGAGGAAUACAUCGGAAUCUACUUUUUCGUGGGGGAUAACGUAGGGAAACUUACGCUAAUACCGCAUACGACCUACGGGUGAAAGUAGGGGAUCUUCGGACCUUGCGCGAUUGAAUGAGCCGAUGUCGGAUUAGCUAGUUGGCGGGGUAAAGGCCCACCAAGGCGACGAUCCGUAGCUGGUCUGAGAGGAUGAUCAGCCACACUGGAACUGAGACACGGUCCAGACUCCUACGGGAGGCAGCAGUGGGGAAUAUUGGACAAUGGGCGCAAGCCUGAUCCAGCCAUACCGCGUGGGUGAAGAAGGCCUUCGGGUUGUAAAGCCCUUUUGUUGGGAAAGAAAAGCAGCAGGUUAAUACCCCGCUGUUCUGACGGUACCCAAAGAAUAAGCACCGGCUAACUUCGUG